Molecule: ribosomal RNA, 253 nt
Filed under: uncultured bacterium
Lineage: Bacteria
Description: partial 16S ribosomal RNA
Rfam family: Bacterial small subunit ribosomal RNA
Source: RNAcentral
UACAGAGGUGGCAAGCGUUGUUCGGAAUUACUGGGCGUAAAGGGCGCGUAGGCGGUUCGAUAAGUCCCGUGUGAAAUCCCUCGGCUCAACUGAGGAACUGCACGGGAAACUGACGGGCUUGAGUUCGGGAGAGGGAAGCGGAAUUCCGGGUGUAGCGGUGAAAUGCGUAGAUAUUGGGAGGAACACCAGUGGCGAAGGCGGCUCACUGGACCGGUACUGACGCUGAUGCGCGAAAGCGUGGGGAGCAAACGGG